Molecule: ribosomal RNA, 1237 nt
Filed under: Campylobacter jejuni
Lineage: Bacteria; Pseudomonadati; Campylobacterota; Epsilonproteobacteria; Campylobacterales; Campylobacteraceae
Description: partial 23S ribosomal RNA
Rfam family: Bacterial large subunit ribosomal RNA
Source: RNAcentral
AAAAAAGGUAAGCUACUAAGAGCGAAUGGUGGAUGCCUUGACUGGUAAAGGCGAUGAAGGACGUACUAGACUGCGAUAAGCUACGGGGAGCUGUCAAGAAGCUUUGAUCCGUAGAUUUCCGAAUGGGGCAACCCAAUGUAUAGAGAUAUACAUUACCUAUAUAGGAGCGAACGAGGGGAAUUGAAACAUCUUAGUACCCUCAGGAAAAGAAAUCAAUAGAGAUUGCGUCAGUAGCGGCGAGCGAAAGCGCAAGAGGGCAAACCCAGUGCUUGCACUGGGGGUUGUAGGACUGCAAUAUGCAAGAGGUAAGUUUAGCAGAACAUUCUGGAAAGUAUAACCAUAGAGGGUGAUAGUCCCGUAUGCGAAAAACAAACCUUAGCUAGCAGUAUCCUGAGUAGGGCGGGACACGAGGAAUCCUGUCUGAAUCCGGGUCGACCACGAUCCAACCCUAAAUACUAAUACCAGAUCGAUAGUGCACAAGUACCGUGAGGGAAAGGUGAAAAGAACUGAGGUGAUCAGAGUGAAAUAGAACCUGAAACCAUUUGCUUACAAUCAUUCAGAGCCCUAUGUAGCAAUACAGGGUGAUGGACUGCCUUUUGCAUAAUGAGCCUGCGAGUUGUGGUGUCUGGCAAGGUUAAGCAAACGCGAAGCCGUAGCGAAAGCGAGUCUGAAUAGGGCGCUUAGUCAGAUGCUGCAGACCCGAAACGAAGUGAUCUAUCCAUGAGCAAGUUGAAGCUAGUGUAAGAACUAGUGGAGGACUGAACCCAUAGGCGUUGAAAAGCCCCGGGAUGACUUGUGGAUAGGGGUGAAAGGCCAAUCAAACUUCGUGAUAGCUGGUUCUCUCCGAAAUAUAUUUAGGUAUAGCGUUGUGUCGUAAUAUAAGGGGGUAGAGCACUGAAUGGGCUAGGGCAUACACCAAUGUACCAAACCCUAUCAAACUCCGAAUACCUUAUAUGUAAUCACAGCAGUCAGGCGGCGAGUGAUAAAAUCCGUCGUCAAGAGGGAAACAACCCAGACUACCAGCUAAGGUCCCUAAGUCUUACUUAAGUGGAAAACGAUGUGAAGUUACUUAAACAACCAGGAGGUUGGCUUAGAAGCAGCCAUCCUUUAAAGAAAGCGUAAUAGCUCACUGGUCUAGUGAUUUUGCGCGGAAAAUAUAACGGGGCUAAAGUAAGUACCGAAGCUGUAGACUUAGUUUACUAAGUGGUAGGAGAGCGUUCUAUUUGCGUCGAAGGUA